Molecule: ribosomal RNA, 550 nt
Filed under: uncultured bacterium
Lineage: Bacteria
Description: bacterial SSU rRNA
Rfam family: Archaeal small subunit ribosomal RNA
Source: RNAcentral
ACGGAAUAGAUACCCGGGUAGUCCCAGCCGUAAACGAUGCUCGCUAGGUGUCAGGCAUGGCGCGACCGUGUCUGGUGCCGCAGGGAAGCCGUGAAGCGAGCCACCUGGGAAGUACGGCCGCAAGGCUGAAACUUAAAGGAAUUGGCGGGGGAGCACAACAACGGGUGGAGCCUGCGGUUUAAUUGGACUCAACGCCGGACAACUCACCGGGGGCGACAGCAAUAUGUAGGCCAAGCUGAAGACUUUGCCUGAAUCGCUGAGAGGAGGUGCAUGGCCGUCGCCAGUUCGUACUGUGAAGCAUCCUGUUAAGUCAGGCAACGAGCGAGACCCGUGCCCACUGUUACCAGCAUAUCCUCCGGAAUGAUGGGUACUCUGUGGGGACCGCCUACGUUAAACUAGGAGGAAGGUGCGGGCCACGGUAGGUCAGUAUGCCCCGGAAUCUCCCGGGCUACACGCGGGUCUACAAUGGAUGGGACAAUGGGUCCCUCCCCGAAAGGGUCUGGUAAUCUCACAAACCCAUUCGUAGUUCGGAUCGGGGGUCUGUAACUCG